UGUGGGAGCGAGCUUGCUUGCGAUGAGGGCGUGUCAGUCAACAUAUGUGUCGUCUGACAGUCCGCAAUCGCGAGCAAGCUCGCUCCCACA
RNAcentral lists this unclassified non-coding RNA (90 nucleotides) under Pseudomonas jessenii. Lineage: Bacteria; Pseudomonadati; Pseudomonadota; Gammaproteobacteria; Pseudomonadales; Pseudomonadaceae. The record is from RNAcentral.